Non-coding RNA from Thermodesulfovibrio sp. RBG_19FT_COMBO_42_12, 88 nucleotides. The record is from Rfam. NCBI's taxonomy places the organism in Bacteria, Pseudomonadati, Nitrospirota, Thermodesulfovibrionia, Thermodesulfovibrionales, Thermodesulfovibrionaceae.
GAAAGCCGUAUUCGGGAAAAUCGAACGUACGGUUUGAUGAGGGGGAACUGGAGAUAGGGGUUGCUACGACGUCAGUUCCCUACUCUAC